AGUGAACGCUGGCGGCAGGCCUAACACAUGCAAGUCGAGCGGCAGCGGGUUCCCGCGAGGGGAUGCCGGCGAGCGGCGGACGGGUGAGGAACACAUCGGAAUCUGCCUGGUUGUGGGGAUAACGUAGGGAAACUUACGCUAAUACCGCAUGAGACCCUGAGUCGACGGACUGGGGGUGAAAGUGAGGGACCUUCGGGCCUCACGCGACCAGAUGAGCCGAUGUCGGAUUAGCUAGUUGGCGGGGUAACGGCCCGCCAAGGCGACGAUCCGUAGCUGGUCUGAGAGGAUGAUCAGCCACACUGGGACUGAGACACGGCCCAGACUCCUACGGGAGGCAGCAGUGGGGAAUCUUGGACAAUGGGCGCAAGCCUGAUCCAGCCAUG
RNAcentral lists this ribosomal RNA (383 nucleotides) under uncultured bacterium. RNAcentral's name for it is "bacterial SSU rRNA". It matches the Rfam family "Bacterial small subunit ribosomal RNA", at positions 30 to 396 of the family's 1533-position model. The record is from RNAcentral.